CCAGGGAAGAAACAAUAAGGGCUGGGAGAACAGACGUGAAUUGCUGGUUCAAGGACCCCUAGAUUGGAACCUGGAGUAGAGGGCAGGCCUGGGUUCUGCUACAAGCCACUGUGGCAGUGGUGCAGUCAGCACAGUGAUAGGGAGGCUGCCUGAGUCUGUGUGGAGAGACACUUUGGUGAGACCCCGGAAGGGCAGGACAACUAUGACUUGGCUAGAAGGCUAAAUCACGAAGGGGAGGCACUGAAGCUCCUGACCAGCGAGAGAAGGACCACAGAGCGAGUGACUGAGGCAACCAGCUGAGUAACUACAGGACGGGGUGCGGACAGAGGCGAGCUAAUUCCCCAGAUGAGCCACGAGGAGGCGUCACUGUCGGGCGCCAGUUACACCAUCAUUUCACUUUUGUGUUUGGGUUGCAAAUAUUGCAAGGAAUAUUUUUUUAAAAUCAUAAUGCCAAAUUCCACUCUGCAUGUACCGGAUAUGAGUGACAUGAGUUAUGAUCAUCAGGAAGGUCUUAUCAAAGAACAUGUCAUAUGGCACCAAACAGCACAAUCGACUUUUACCACUCAUAUCCACCUGUCACUGAAUUGAAAGAGUGGCUUGUUAUAGAAUUAACUCCUAAAUGUUUAGAAAAUAACUUACGAUUAAUAAUGUAAAAUGUAUUCACCUAAUAUUUGGUGGAAGAAUUGAUAAAGUAAAAAUCUAUCCUGUGACACACUGA
Molecule: long non-coding RNA, 718 nt
Organism: Chelonia mydas (Green sea turtle)
Lineage: Eukaryota; Metazoa; Chordata; Testudines; Cheloniidae
Exons: 2
Source: RefSeq, a predicted model, not a curated record